ACUUUUGCCUUUGUUAAACAUUGUCUUUCCUUAUACAGAAUGUUUUUCUCAUGCUCUAAUUAGUCAUUCUACUAAUCUUUCAUUUUUCCAGUGUUUUAAAAACCGGUAUAUACCGGCCGGUAUUACCGGUAAUACCGGUUGCCGGGGUGUUGGCCGGCACGAUUCAGUCCGGUAUUUUGAAGGAACAACAAACGAUUUGAACCGCCGGUAUUCAGGUAAAAACCGGUAUGUACCGUUAAACCGGUACCGUCCCACCAUUUGAUUUUCUUUAGUCGGCCCAAGACAUUGACGAUUAACCUCCGGCACUUGAUGUUUAACCAAGAGCAUCGUAUGAUCCAUUCAUCAGAGCCUUUGCGUACCAUCCAUUCAUGAUUCAUCAAAGCCUCUGUGUACCAUCGAUCAUCAGAGGUAUUAUAUACAAUACCGGGGGACGAUCAAGCUCAACAAAGAACCGAACACGAACACGAUCAAGUUCAAGCUUUCGCAUAUUAUUACGUUGUCGUUUUGAACGACGAAUUCAAUCACAUUUUGUUGUAUUGUUUUUAAUGCUAAAUAAACUUUAAAUAAACCCGUAUUAUGAUUAGUAUGUGUGAUCAUUAAUACACAUUUUUAGUUCUUAAUUUAUAAGAAAUACGUUAAAUA
Helianthus annuus (common sunflower) is the source of this 642-nucleotide long non-coding RNA. RefSeq lists it as uncharacterized. The record is from RefSeq and is a predicted model, not a curated record. The transcript has 2 exons. NCBI's taxonomy places the organism in Eukaryota, Viridiplantae, Streptophyta, Magnoliopsida, Asterales, Asteraceae.